Molecule: ribosomal RNA, 261 nt
Filed under: uncultured bacterium
Lineage: Bacteria
Description: partial small subunit ribosomal RNA
Rfam family: Bacterial small subunit ribosomal RNA
Source: RNAcentral
AGAAUCAACGCUGGCGGCGUGCCUAACACAUGCAAGUCGAACGAGAAAGGGGAGCAAUCCCUGAGUACAGUGGCGACCGGGUGAGUAACACGUGACCAAUCUACCUUCGAGUGGGGGAUAACUCCGGGAAACCGGGGCUAAUACCGCAUAAUAUCUUUGGAAUGCAAAUUCCGUUGAUCAAAGGAGCAAUUCGCUUGAAGAGGAGGUCGCGGCUGAUUAGCUAGUUGGCGGGGUAAUGGCCCACCAAGGCGAAGAUCGGUA